RNAcentral lists this long non-coding RNA (339 nucleotides) under Zonotrichia albicollis (white-throated sparrow). RNAcentral describes it as "lncRNA (ENSZALG00000015335.1)". Lineage: Eukaryota; Metazoa; Chordata; Aves; Passeriformes; Passerellidae. The record is from RNAcentral.
GGGGAACAGUAAGAUCUAUAUUGUGCAAGUUGCUUACUGCCAAAUUCAGUGUCUAUUGAGAUACAACGAUACCAUCCAAAAGAAUACAAAGACAGUUUUUGAGGACAGGAGGACAGAAACAUGAUGAAGUGUGAAGAUUUUUCCAGUAUCACACACUGGACCAACAGAUCAAAAAAUUUGCAUCCUCAUAUUCUGCAUCUUGGAAACUCCAUCCUGACCUUUCCUGUUUGUCUGGGCCAGAAGCAAUGCCGCACCCGCUGCCUGGCAGAACAAAUGAUCACGCUGACUGCUAUUCAAGUGUAUAAUGUUGCAUCAUCUUCAACACAGCAUUACGCCUAG